Cygnus olor (mute swan) is the source of this 2772-nucleotide long non-coding RNA. RefSeq lists it as uncharacterized. The transcript is spliced from 3 exons. The record is from RefSeq and is a predicted model, not a curated record. NCBI's taxonomy places the organism in Eukaryota, Metazoa, Chordata, Aves, Anseriformes, Anatidae.
CUUGCUGCUUUACUCCACUUUUCCAAAGGCAGUUCCAGGAGGCGCCCAGCCUGUAAUUUAGGAUGGCACAUACUGUGUGAAAGAGGCUUUGGCACCGGGGCCUACCAGCACAUCAAGGUGAUAUUAACAUAAUAAAACGUUUGGAGAGCGAGUAGGAGCUCAUAAAUUAAUGCAUUCUACUGUUUUAAUGCUAGGAGCUAACAAUGCGUUUCCUGUGCGGCUGAUCGUCCCCGCUGCAGCCUAACAGCUGUUUUAAAGCUUCCAGUUUGGAAGAUGGCCACCACAGAGCUUCCCACCCACAGAAGACAUCCGAUGGAUGCAGAUGCCAACCACACAUGGGGGUUGUGCCCCAAAGACACCGAGGAGUGCCGAGCUGCGGGGGGGCAGGCGGGAAUGCCCAUCUACUGCUGUGCUCCUCAUUGCCAGGUGAUGCUCCUGCUGCCAACCAAAAGGGCACCAAAUCAUCUCCACCCCAACCCAAGCAGCUUCCGAAAGGAUGGUUUCCAAAGCCAAGCUCGCAUUCUGCAUGGCGGUGGCGGCGCAAUUUGUUCCUGUACAAACAAAAGAACCCUGUGCAAUUGCUUACUUUAAUCAUCCCAAGCAUUCAUUAAUGUCUCCAUGUAUUCCCAAAUAUAGCAAAGAAAUGGCUCCCCAAGCCGACCCGCUCCUUCGUUCGCAGCCUUCCCUGUUAGUGCAGCCUUGGAAUAGUGUCUAGGAGGCCACACAGCUUCUUUGGGAAACUGGGAUGUUUGGAACAUGAGUGGAUUCGAGCAUUUCUAAACUUCCCAGAAGAGGCAAAUCGUAAAGGAAUAAACUUCUUUCUGUGCACGCACUUUUGCUUUGGAGCCAAAUGGAAAGGAGAGAUCAGAAAAAAAAAAUGACAAAUUGUUUGGAAAAUAUUGUCCUUCCCAAGACAGACCUAACCAUAUGGGGGGAAGGGACUCAAUACGGAUUUUUUUCCCUUUCAAUUCUAGUCCAGCAGCCCUCCCAUUCACUCCGCUGGGAGGUUUGUGUGAGUCAGACCUGCAAGAUCAUCCAUUCAAGGCCAGUAAUAUUUCCAGCACUUCAGUCCACUCCUAUUCCCUGCUGAAGCAAGAUGGAAAGGGUUCCCCCCCCCACAAAUUUGUGGUGGGAGCGGCAGGAGGGGGCUGAGUGCUCUCCUUGCUGCCUCCCAACUUCUCCCACAGCCCAGCAUCGCUGAAGAUGAGCUGCAGGGAAGGAAAGGGCAAAGCUGCUCCAGCGCUUAGAAAAUGUGUCUAGGAGUUUGUGUGGAUGACUGCAAAAAGCAGAAAGCCUGCUGGAACAUGGAGAAUAAAGCAUGAGGACGGGGAGAAGCCCUCUUUCCAGCCCUGCCCCAGCCUCCUGGUGUGAGCCCAGCGAGGUGCACGAGGUUUUUGUGCCUGCAGCCAACCACCCCCACCUACCCCGGGACGCGCGCAGGUUAAGGCAGGAAUGAGGCAAAUGGAAGAAGCUUUAAAGGAGCAAAAUGUACUGAUGUUUCCAUCAUGCUUGUGAAAGGCUGCUGUAGCAUGCUGGAUCAGUUAGGACAGACCUGGGUUCUUCUUGGACAAAACGAGUGGUACGUUGUUACCUUUGUGGUUAGCUGGAGCACAGAAAAUACUUGUUGUGGCAAAGAAAUCCCUUUAUUUCUUUCAAAUCACUGAAAUUAUCAUCAUUGUCAUCUUCAAGUAAUAAACCAGCUCGAUAUUUAUGCAUGCCCAACUACUAGUGGUGACACACAUGCAACAACAACAAAAAAAGCCGAAGCGGUUGUGUACAUCAGCAAUUAACGGCAGCGUGCGGAGCAUGCAAGACGCUUUGAAGGAGAUGUUGGGAAAGAGACUUUUUUUGUGUGUGGUUGUGUUUAUCCCCUGGUGACAUGCUGCUAACAAGCUGCAAACCAAGGAUCACCCACAACAAACAAAAACAAACAAACAAAGUUUUGUAGAGGGUGGUAAUACUUAGUUUAAUUCUCCGAGGCCUUUAAAAAUAAUUAUAGCCCUGCUUGUGACAACUGGAAGGGCUGCACUUACUCUAAUAAAACUGCUUGUUAUUCUUUAAGAAUGACAUUUGGAGAUGUUUCCUUAUACAAUGUAGACAUUAAUGGGAGGAGAUCUCAAUCAAUGAAAUAUUGAUGCAUUUCUCAUCUUUGCACUAGCAGGAUUUCUGAUGCUGCAGCUUGUGGUCAGCUGUUUACUUGCCAGUUAAAUCACAGCACUUUUAAUGACUUUCUAGAGAUCUGCCUGAGGACUUACUGCCAAAGAACAGGAUCGUGGGGAUUUCGGCAUUACUGAAAAGUUACUCAAGGUCUAGACAUCGAUCCAAGGAUCUCUCUACUACAAUUUUAUUCCAUGCAUUAAAGGGAUGAGCUCCAGGCUGUGAUGGGAGGCAGGAGAGGGGGCUUUGGCCUGGCCCAGCCUCUCCCAUUCCUGACGUGGGAUGGUGCCAUGGAGGAGGACUUCCCCAAGCCAGCCCUGCCUCCUCUCCUGCCGUGGGACGUCCCCGUCGUGUGCUGUUACUGCUGUAUCUGCUAUGAUUGAUGACUUCCAAAGUUGCUCUAAAACUAUCCGAGUGCCUGCUGAGCCAUCUGAAACUCAUCUCCACUCUGUGCAUGGGUCCCCAGCACUCAUUUUUCAGGUGACCAUGCUGGCCUGGGAGUGGAAAUGAGGAAAGCACACAUUACUUGGCAGGAGCUCCGUACCGAGAAGCGAGACGGACGGCGCUUUCUGGCAGCGUGCGCGGGGCCUCAUGCAAAUGAAAACUGAUGGCUUA